Molecule: ribosomal RNA, 252 nt
Filed under: uncultured bacterium
Lineage: Bacteria
Description: partial 16S ribosomal RNA
Rfam family: Bacterial small subunit ribosomal RNA
Source: RNAcentral
UACGUAGGGGGCAAGCGUUGUCCGGAAUUAUUGGGCGUAAAGCGCGCGCAGGCGGUUCUUUAAGUCUGGUGUCUAAGUGCGGGGCUCAACCCCGUGUCGCACUGGAAACUGGGGAACUUGAGUGCAGAAGAGGAGAGCGGAAUUCCACGUGUAGCGGUGAAAUGCGUAGAGAUGUGGAGGAACACCAGUGGCGAAGGCAGCUCGCUGGGACGUUACUGACGCUGAGACGCGAAAGCGUGGGGAGCAAACAGG